CAUGUGGAUUGAUGUGAACAUCCAAAUACGACCUCAAGUGCGGCGUGGUGCCGUCAGAAGUCCUCCCGAAAAAUUCACGGGCAAGUUGAUGAAUCUCAGUUGACUAGGGACAGAUCAAAUAGCUAGCCAUUCAAAAAAAUAACUAGUUCGUAUAAUGUUUUAGAAAUAAUUUUUUAUAGCUCACAUAACUCUUCACCUGUAAUCUUUUUUAUUAUUUCAAAGCUAUAUGAAAGUUGUCACUGGGAUGCCCCG
Molecule: long non-coding RNA, 252 nt
Filed under: Sorghum bicolor (sorghum)
Lineage: Eukaryota; Viridiplantae; Streptophyta; Magnoliopsida; Poales; Poaceae
Description: long non-coding RNA (SBIC_LNC007405)
Source: RNAcentral